This is a long non-coding RNA of Cyprinus carpio (common carp), 1109 nucleotides long. RefSeq lists it as uncharacterized. The transcript has 4 exons. The record is from RefSeq and is a predicted model, not a curated record. NCBI's taxonomy places the organism in Eukaryota, Metazoa, Chordata, Actinopteri, Cypriniformes, Cyprinidae.
ACACCAUUGUUCUCUCCUUAAAAAAACAGGAAAUGUUGGAGAAACAGGCACAGACAAACCAGAGUAGCAGACUUACACACAGCCCUGAUCAAGUAAUCACACCGGCUCAGCAGAAUGGUCAGAGAACUGAACCUCAGGAGAGACAAACAGCUACACCACAACUGCAGUUUAUACAGGAUGGCUCUUGGAGCUGUAAGUCUAAAGACAGACAAGAAGAUUUGAAGAAAACUGCCUCACUGGAUCGUAAACAGAGUCCACCUCAGAGCCAGACCACAAGGAUGAGGAGGACUGGGUCGUGUGAAAAUGUUUUAGGGACACACCCAUCAAAAUCACCCACACCAUCACAAGACACGCCACCUCCAUCACCCAGCAGGUAUGAGCCUUCCCUCCAACACAUACUCAAUCACAUGGAGAUACAUGUGUGUGUGUGUAUGUGGAGCAUAUUAGUAAUCACCCAGACACAGUGAUUGUGUCAUGCUGCUAAACUGGUCUGUAAGAUUUCUUGCAUUUAAUUUAAAUGCAAAAGUAUUCGUUUAAAGGAACAAUUCGCCCAAAAAUGAACAUUUGCUGAAAAUGUACUCAUCCUCAGGCCAUCCGAGACGUAGAUGAGUUUGUUUCUUCAUUGGAACAGAUUUAGAGAGAUGUAGCACUGCAUCACUUGCUCACCAAUGAAUCCUCUGCUGUGAAUGGGUGCCGUCAGAAUGAGUCAAACAGCUGAUAAAAACACCACCAUAAUGUACAAGUAAUCCACUCUUCGAUCCUUCAAUUAGGACCUUGUGAAGUGAAAACCUAUGUGUUUGUAAUAAAUUCAUCAUUAAGGCAUUUAAACUUUAAACCACUGCUUCUGACCAAAAUACAUCCAAAAGCCAUAAUAACAAAUAAAGCAUAAUUUUUAAUUUUGGGUGAAUUUGAGUUUAAUGCAUCCAUUUGAAAUUUAGGUUCAGCAUAUGAUGAUCCAAGUUGUGCCACCAUGAUGAUAAGGCAUAAUCAUUGCUUUCAUUUCAGUAGUUACAUAAUCAUGCUAAAUGCUUUGCGCACAAUCCUAUUUAUUUAAGUUUUCAUGCCUGUAUUGCAUUUGUUACCUCUUUAAAGUCUUUUUUUUUAUUAUU